AUGGGCGGGAUGGAGCCGGGAGCAUCCAGGGCUCCCUUUUUGGGGUGUCGCCUGCAGGGAUGUGGCGGCCGUGCCCUCCCCAGGGUGGCUCUGCCCCUUAUCCCAGCUCAUCAUCCCGGCUGGAACAUCUUUCCCGGGGUUCUCCUGGUGGGAAUUCCCACAGGGAUGCAGCAACGCCCUGAUCUCGGCUGCUGGACAGGGAGGGAGGGACAGGGGACGGUGGUGAGGGGACAGGUGGUGUUGUCCCCGUCCCGUUUUCCAUCCCUGAGUCACCAAGCACCGCCUUGUCCCCAUCCCUCCGGCCACCGACGGGGACUGGAGGCCGCGGUGAGGGGACAGGGGGUGUCAUCCCCAUCCCAGAACCCCAUCUCCCAUCCUGGCAUCCCAAAGCGACCAGGGACCGCCCUGUCCCUCCGGCCACCCACCAGGACCGCGGACGCUGCUGAGGGACCGGAUGAGAGAACAGGGGCUGUUGUCCCCAUCCCGUUUUCCAUCCUCAAAGCGACCAAGAACCACCUUGUCCCCAUCCCUCCGGCCACCUACCGCCCGCUCCCGGCAGGACACGAGGCUGGCGUUGCCCCUCCUGCUGUCCCCUCGUGUCCGGGCCAGCUCCCGGCGCAGCGCGUCCUCGUCCCGCUCCAGCCGCUCCCGCUCCCGCUCCAGCUCCUCCAGGCGAUUCCCGAGCUCCCGGCUCUCGUUGGCCGCCCUCUCCCGGCACCCCCGCAGCUUCCCCACGGCCUCGGAGCGCCACACCAUCACCGCCACGGCCACUGUCACCGCCGCCACCAGCACCAGCAGCGCCGCGCACAGCCCCAGCACCUUCAGGGUGGCCCUGGGUACCGCGGGGUCCAUGGCGGAGGCGACGCGCGGGGACACAGCGGGACAGCCGGGGACCCACCGGGACAGCCGGGGACCCACCGGGACCCACCGGAAAAGCCGGGGACCCACCGGGACCCACCGGAAAAGCCGGGGACCCACCAAGACCCACCGGGACAGCCAGGGAUGCGCGGGGACCCACCGGGAAAGCCGGGGACCCACCGGGACCCACCGGGAAAGCCGGGGACCCACCGGGACAGCCGGGGACCCACCGGGACCCACCGGGAAAGCCAGAGACCCACCGGGACAGCCGGAGCCGCUCCUCCGGCCGUGGCUGUGCCGGGAUGUGCCGGUGGAGCUGCUGGCCACGCCGUAAUUGUCGCGUGUGGGCUGCGGUUUGUCGCAGGUCACAGCCCAGAAUAG
RNAcentral lists this long non-coding RNA (1239 nucleotides) under Corvus moneduloides (New Caledonian crow). RNAcentral describes it as "lncRNA (ENSCMUG00000017901.1)". Lineage: Eukaryota; Metazoa; Chordata; Aves; Passeriformes; Corvidae. The record is from RNAcentral.